GUCUGCGUGUUGCUGUGUGUGUGCGUGUCCGCGUGUUGCUGUGUGUGUGUGCGUGUCCGCGUGUUGCUCUGUGUCUGUGUGUGAACAUCUGUGCUUGUCCUGUAUCUGUGUUUAUCUGUGUACUUCCAUGUCUGUGUGAAGGAGUCCUUGUGUCUGUGUGUCUACAUGUCUGCACGUGUCCCCGUGUCUUCGUGUAUAUAUAUCCAUGUUUGUGUGCCUGUGUUCCUGCGUGUGCAUAUGUGUGCACGUGUGUAUCUGUGUGUCUGUCAGAGUAUCUGUGUGUGCAUGUGUGUGUGUCUGUCAGCGUAUCCAUGUGUGCAUCUGUGUGUCUGUCAGCAUAUCCAUGUGUGCAUGUGUGUGUCUGUCAGCUUAUCCAUGUGUGCAUGUGUCUGUCAGCAUAUCCGUGUGUGCAUCUGUGUAUCUGUCCGUGUAUCCGCGUGUGCCUGUGUGUACUUUUGUGUGAGCAUCAAGGGACCUCCCAGGCCUGGUGCUCACCAUCCGCCCCAACGCACCCUGCAUUGCAGCGACUCCAGCUCGGACACAGACAGCUUCUACGGCGCAGUCGAGCGGCCUGUGGAUAUCAGCCUCUCCCCGUACCCCACGGACAAUGAAGACUAUGAGCACGACGACGAGGAUGACUCCUACAUGGAGCCCGACUCCCCGGAGCCCGGAAGGCUUGAGGAUGCCCUGAUGCACCCACCGGCUUACCCACCACCCCCAGUGCCCACGCCCAGGAAGCCAGCCUUCUCCGACAUGCCCCGGGCCCACUCCUUUACCUCCAAGGGCCCCGGUCCCCUGCUGCCACCCCCGCCCCCUAAGCACGGCCUCCCAGAUGUUGGCCUGGCUGCCGAGGACUCCAAGAGGGACCCCCUGUGCCCGAGGCGGGCUGAGCCUUGCCCCAGGGUACCUGCUACCCCCCGAAGGAUGAGUGAUCCCCCUCUGAGCACCAUGCCCACCGCACCCGGCCUACGGAAACCCCCUUGCUUCCGGGAGAGUGCCAGCCCCAGCCCCAGCCCGGAGCCCUGGACCCCUGGCCACGGGGCCUGCUCCACUUCCAGUGCUGCCAUCAUGGCCACUGCCACCUCCAGAAACUGUGACAAACUCAAGUCCUUCCACCUGUCCCCCCGAGGACCGCCCACAUCUCAGCCCCCACCUGUGCCAGCCAACAAGCCCAAGUUCCUGAAGACAGCUGAAGAGGACCCCCCAAGGGAGGCAGCCAUGCCUGGACUCUUUGUGUCCCCCGUGGCUCCCCGGCCUCCUGCGCUGAAGCUGCCAGUGCCUGAGGCCACGGCGCGGCCCGCAGUCCUGCCCAGGCCAGAGAAGCCGCAGCUCCCCCACCUCCAGCGAUCACCCCCUGAUGGGCAGAGUUUCAGGAGCUUCUCCUUUGAAAAGCCCCGGCAACCCUUGCCGGCUGACACUGGUGGGGACGACUCGGACGAGGACUAUGAGAAGGUGCCACUCCCCAACUCGGUCUUCAUCAACACCACGGAGUCCUGCGAAGUGGAAAGGCUGUUCAAGGCUACAAGCCCCCGGGGAGAGCCCCAGGAUGGACUCUACUGCAUCCGGAACUCCUCUACCAAGUCAGGGAAGGUCCUGGUUGUGUGGGAUGAAACUUCUAACAAAGUGAGGAACUAUCGCAUUUUUGAGAAGGAUUCUAAGUUCUACCUGGAGGGCGAGGUCCUGUUUGUGAGUGUGGGCAGCAUGGUGGAGCACUACCACACCCACGUGCUGCCCAGCCACCAGAGCCUGCUGCUGCGGCACCCCUACGGCUACACCGGGCCUAGGUGAUGCCAGCCCGUGUGGCUGCCAGGCCAAGGCAGUCACAGGGGCCCUGACCCCAGGCCACACAGAUGGACACGGGCCCACAUGGGAGGGUGAGCAGAAGCAAGGCCGUGCUUGCCUAGGGCCUCAGUGAUGGACGUCUCGUAGGACCCAGCCAGUCUCAUCCAGCAGGCUGAUGAGGGCUGGACCAGGCUCCAGGCUCCAGAGGACGAGGGGACUCUGUUGCCCCACACUAACUUGCCCUGUCCCAAUCUCAGAAACCCAGGACCGAGCCGUGCCUGGGCUCCGAGGACAGGAACACUGGUUCCCCUCAUCACACUCACCCCAGGCAGGGCCAGGGCAGCUGGGUGGGGGCCGGGGCUGGCCCUGGGACCCUCAGGAACGCUAAGACACAGGCUCCAGUAGGGGCUGUUGCCUCCAAUAAAGCAGCAGUGAGCUUUGC
Molecule: small RNA, 2224 nt
Filed under: Pongo abelii (Sumatran orangutan)
Lineage: Eukaryota; Metazoa; Chordata; Mammalia; Primates; Hominidae
Description: retained intron
Source: RNAcentral